ACUGGGGGACCCAGAUACAGUAUUAAAUAUGUGUUGAGGUGGUCAGUAUGAUGCCUGUUGGACCCAGAUAGAGUAUUAAAUAUGUGUUGAGGUGGUCCUACUGGGGGACCCAGAUAUAGUAUUAAAUAUGUGUUGAGGUGGUCCUACUGGGGGACCCAGAUAGAGUAUUAAAUAUGUGUUGAGGUGGUCCUACUGGGGGACCCAGAUAGAGUAUUAAAUAUGUGUUGAGGUGGUCCUACUGGGGGACCCAGAUAUAGUAUUAAAUAUGUGUUGAGGUGGUCCUACUGGGGGACCCAGAUAGAGUAUUAAAUAUGUGUUGAGGUGGUCCUACUGGGGGACCCAGAUAGAGUAUUAAAUAUGUGUUGAGGUGGUCAGUAUGAUGCCUGUUGGACCCAGAUAGAGUAUUAAAUAUGUGUUGAGGUGGUCCUACUGGGGGACCCAGAUAGAGUAUUAAAUAUGUGUUGAGGUGGUCCUACUGGGGGACCCAGAUAGAGUAUUAAAUAUGUGUUGAGGUGGUCAGUAUGAUGCCUGUUGGACCCAGAUAUGGUAUUAAAUAUGUGUUGAGGUGGUCCUACUGGGGGACCCAGAUAGAGUAUUAAAUAUGUGUUGAGGUGGUCCUACUGGGGGACCCAGAUAUAGUAUUAAAUAUGUGUUGAGGUGGUCCUACUGGGGGACCCAGAUAGAGUAUUAAAUAUGUGUUGAGGUGGUCAGUAUGAUGCCUGUUGGACCCAGAUAGAGUAUUAAAUAUGUGUUGAGGUGGUCAGUAUGAUGCCUGUUGGACCCAGAUAGAGUAUUAAAUAUGUGUUGAGGUGGUCAGUAUGAUGCCUGUUGGACCCAGAUAGAGUAUUGGGAGAUGGUGAAUAUGUAUGGUCUCCCUUUACGGUCCACAAGCCACUAUGACAGAUGUGUUACCAGCCCCAUCUUCGUCUGUUGCCAUGCUUGGCAUAAAAAAAAAAGGACCGUGUUUUGUAAUGACUCUAAAACAAGAUGUGUAUUAGUAAGUAGUAAUGUAGUUUGUUGCUCAGUUUAAAUGUAUUGUGACCAGAUUUACUUUGAAAACAGAUACCGCGACAUU
This is a long non-coding RNA of Oncorhynchus keta (chum salmon), 1075 nucleotides long. RefSeq lists it as uncharacterized. Lineage: Eukaryota; Metazoa; Chordata; Actinopteri; Salmoniformes; Salmonidae. The record is from RefSeq and is a predicted model, not a curated record. The transcript has 4 exons.